AACGCACAUUGCGCCCGCCAGUAUUCUGGCGGGCAUGCCUGUCUGAGCGUCGUUUCGACCCUCGCGCCCGGCUUCUGUCGGGGGCGGUGUUGGGGAUCGGCCACACCCUUCAGUGGGAGGCCGGCCCCUAAAUUCAGUGGCGACCACGCUGUAGCCUCCCCUGCGUAGUACUAAAACCACCUCGCAGGCGGAGAGCGGUGCGGCCCGCCGUAAAACCCCCCAACUUUUACAAGGUCGACCUCAGAUCAGGUAGGAAUACCCGCUGAACUUAA
This 272-nucleotide unclassified non-coding RNA is filed under the name uncultured fungus. Its description in RNAcentral is "partial contains 5.8S ribosomal RNA, internal transcribed spacer 2, and large subunit ribosomal RNA". The stretch from base 1 to 52 matches the Rfam family "5.8S ribosomal RNA", at positions 103 to 154 of the family's 154-position model. RNAcentral also lists the same sequence under 2 other names. Lineage: Eukaryota; Fungi. The record is from RNAcentral.